GAUCAUGGCUCAGGAUGAACGCUAGCUACAGGCUUAACACAUGCAAGUCGAGGGGAAACGACAUCGGAAGCUUGCUUUGAUGGGCGUCGACCGGCGCACGGGUGAGUAACGCGUAUCCAACCUGCCCACCACUUGGGGGAUAACCUUGCGAAAGUAAGACUAAUACCCAAUGACGUCUCUAGAAGACAUCUGAAAGGGGAUUAAAGAUUUAUCGGUGAUGGAUGGGGAUGCGUCUGAUUAGCUUGUUGGCGGGGUAACGGCCCACCAAGGCGACGAUCAGUAGGGGUUCUGAGAGGAAGGUCCCCCACAUUGGAACUGAGACACGGUCCAAACUCCUACGGGAGGCAGCAGUGAGGAAUAUUGGUCAAUGGGCGAGAGCCUGAACCAGCCAAGUAGCGUGUGGGACGAAUGCCCUAUGGGUUGUAAACCACUUUUGCAGGAGGGUAAAAUGCUUCACGUGUGGAGUAUUGCAAGUAUCCUGCGAAUAAGGACCGGCUAAUUCCGUG
Molecule: ribosomal RNA, 506 nt
Filed under: uncultured bacterium
Lineage: Bacteria
Description: bacterial SSU rRNA
Rfam family: Bacterial small subunit ribosomal RNA
Source: RNAcentral